Molecule: long non-coding RNA, 5015 nt
Organism: Mercurialis annua (annual mercury)
Lineage: Eukaryota; Viridiplantae; Streptophyta; Magnoliopsida; Malpighiales; Euphorbiaceae
Exons: 5
Source: RefSeq, a predicted model, not a curated record
UCACGCGACUGUGACGAAGGAGCGGAAAGAAUCUGUAAUGAAGGAGCUGAAAGAAUCUGUGAUGAAAGAGCUGAAGAAUCUGCGAAGAAAGAGAUGGAAUUUCUGUUUAAUCCGAAUGCUAGAGAGAUAGCGGUUGAAGUUGCAUAGAAAAAUCUCAAGCUUCAGGAGAUGGAAUCUCUCCUGAAAGAUAAAAAAAAAGAAAUUGAAGCUGUUAAGAGCGUGCAUGAGCUGAAGCUUAAGCUUCUAGAGAAGGAGGUGAAGUUUAAGGAGAUCAUAGAGGAAAAGGAAAGAGAACUUACAGUUGCAAUAGUGGAAGGUUAAUGAGAGAACAUUUGAAAUCUCUAUGGAAGAGAAAGACCUGCAAGUUAGGGAGAUGAAAGAAGAGCUGAACAAAAUCUUGUUUAAUAAGAAAAUGGAGAGUGGGGGUAAGCAAGCUGUGUCAAUGGUUGAAAAUAAAACCAGCUUUCUGAAAAUGAAGAACUAAGCCUUUUUAAACAGGCUAAUGGUGCUGUUUUACUUUCAGGAUCACAAAUGCCAUUAUAUGGCCUAUUAAUGGGGGUUUGAGUUUUGUAUUACCCUUUCAAGACUCCAGCAGUAGUAAGCUGGUCUUGGGGGUAAUUACUUGUUUGUUUAGUGGAUUUUUGCUUGGCAUUAUCCCUCCAUUUUGCAAUGCCUUUAAAAGUGUCAAAAGAUUUGUCAAGUUGAAGAAUGUCCUGCUACAAAAAAAUGCACAACUCAGAUAAACCCUCUCUUAAACUUAAAAAUUUUCUUAUCCUAGCCCUUCAUCAACUAACCUCCAAAGUUUCUGGAUGUCACAAUUCCACUCUCAGCAAAACCCGCAGUGAUGCAGCCACUUAACAACAGAUGUUUACCAUUAAAGUUUCAGCCAAUAGCUACAUUGUUGUGACAGACUAUAUUGAAGUUACAAGCUAAAUAGUCUUGGAUUAGGCUAUUUUGUAAAGGAAAAGUAUGAAUAGAGACUAGAAGAUGGAAGCGGAUGCAACCUAAGUUGCUUUCUUGUUUCCUAGUUGUCCAUGUGAAGUUUUAUCCUAACUUUUCAUUGAGAGUACAAGUGCUAAGUUGUCCAACUAAGUGCUAGACUGCCAUCCAACCUUAUUCAUUGAUAGCAAUUGGUAUAAUCAAACCUCUCAUCGGACUCUUCCAUGAACUCAUUUGCUUCUGAUGCCUCCGCUUCGGGUUCUGCCGCCGGGUCGGACUAUGUCUUCAAUGUGAAUGCAAUGCCCAGAAUUGCUCCCACAUAUGCUGCAGCUUUUGAAACAGCAAUGUCUGAGGUAGCGGACAAUGAGGAAGCAUUAAAGGGUUUUUCAUCACAUUUUUAUGUCAUGCUUAUCCUGCAUUGAUGCAGUGCUGCGGUUUUCUCAAUUGCUAUUCCGGUCAUGACCAUUUUGAUGCGUUCCAAGUUCUCUGUUGAUUUCUCUUCAGCAGCCAACUUAGCGUUUUCCACUAGGUUUAGCAUUUGGGCUUGAAGUUUUUGGUGGUGUUCUUCUGAUUCACGUGCCAAAACUAUAUUUGCUUGGGAGUCUAUGAUUCCAAAUGGAUUUUAGUGGCAGAAUGAGAAUUGUUGUUGUGUAGAACUCUAAAUUGUUGCCUCACAGGACAGGACAUAGACUAGGUUUUUGGUUCCUUACAAGUUGUAAUCAUCAUAGUUAAUUAUGCUUGAGAUUCUUAAUUUUGAAGCUGAAUUGGUGACUUGUGUUGAUGGGAGGACAGUUUAAAGGAAGGGGUUUUACAAUGAAAAGAAGUGCUGAAGAAAUCCAUCUGGAGAUUCCCUUGAAUUUUUGUGAGGAACGAACACUCUUAGAGCUUGUAUACCUAAGAUGUAGGAACUGUAAAAUCUGAGACCUACUAUCAUAUCCUGAGUAUGUUGUGAUGGUUUAGAAUCUGAUUAAACAUUGAAGGUUGCUUGAGUUACAAGGGAGCAUUUGAUGUUGAUUUUGAUACCAUCUUUAUGAAUUUUCAGUUAUAUUGUUACUUGGAAUCUCGUUAUAUAGAUUUAUUUUGGCUGUUCAUUUAAUUUAACAUUUUGGCAUCUACUUUGAAAGCUCUUAGAGAAGUGUAUCAGCCACUUGUGAAUUUGAGUCUUGAGAUCAUAAUUACUUUUUAUAAUCAUUGCAUCUGAGGAGCAAGAAUAAUUAAUAGGGUUCACUGCUUAGUUAGGCUGAUUAGGAUUAUAUAUUUUGAUCAAGAAUGUUAUGAUAGGCUUUGAAACAGGAAUUUGAUGUUAGGAGACAAGACUUUACGGUGACAGACAUGUCUUGUUUUAUGAAUGGUUUUCAAAUUGCAGACAUGACAAUCGUGUGCCUGCAAGGGAUUAUUGUUUUAUAAUGGCCUAUGCUUCUGUUGAUCUGUAUACUAUAUCAUAUGACUAGGUUGCAGCUAAGUGGCUGAUGGUUAAUGCAACAUGAUAUUUUACUUCAAACAUAGAUUAAGCUCUUUGUUUCUUUUCUUGGGUAUCAUUUUUCUCUGAAUAAUUGUCGCAAGGUGGUAGCGACAUAGAUGCAUUUUAAAGUCAGUGCAACUCACUUUGAAAAUGAGGAACAGUUGCAUCAGCAUGCUGUGGAAAGUUACCUUAUACCUGAACUUUAUUCAACUUGCAAAACUCUAUGUAGAAACAUAACAAUGCUUAAGGAUUUAUAGAAGUUUAAUAUCAAAUUGGAAGGGACUGGCAACUUGAGUCCAUCAAUUGGAUAUUAUCAUUUACAUUGGUGGGGUAUAGACUGAGUGAUUAUAUUCUUAGCAUAGAUUAAUUGUUUUUUGGUUUGUGCAUACUUUAUUUACUAGUGCAUGAUAUUUGUAUUAAAUGAGUUGGCAUCCAUCUAUAAUUUGUAGAACUUUAGGCUAUAGAUUAAGGCAUAUUACUUGAAUUUAAUAGACAAAUUUGAAGCCAUUCUUUCCGUGGGCGUGUCUUCACUUAUGCAAAACCGCACAUACACACAAAAUAUUAUGUGAAGGAAUAUUAAUAUUAUUGAUUGGUCAGUUACUUACGUUUGUUGUGCAUUUAGUAUGUAGUGCUAAGUGCUAGUAGAUUUGUGAAGCCAUGCUACUUGCCUUAUAUCAUAGAUCAUGCUCUUAUUCCUUAUUCGCUUGGGCAUACACGCUAUUUGGAUUGUAUCAAAUAUCAUGCUCUUAAAUUCUUUGCUUAGAAAUUAUGAGUCUUUGGAGUGAAAGUUGCAAUAUGAGACUUGCCUUGUACUGAUGAAUAUUAUUGUUUUUUUUGCUUUUACUAGAAAUAGAGAAGACAGCUCUGAUACUUGUUAGUCUUGAUAAAGGGGUGGCAUGUUUUAGAGUUAUCCGUUACACUUGUAGUUGCUCAAGUGUUCAUUUGCAGAUGGUGGCCGUCCUUGGUUAGUGUGGCUGCUUUAUGGAAAUCUAUAAAGAAUUUUCUGAAAUUGAAAAAUAGACUGAAAUAAGCUGAAAGUGCCCAACUCCCUAGCGCAAUUAGUUGGCUUGUUUAUUAAUUGGUUGUAAAUUUCUUGCAGGGUAUCUGCUCUGUAUUACUUUGAAAAAUCUGUGAUUUUGAUGCUUAUAAUCGUGUUUCUACUGCAUCUAUGAUAUGACUGCAAAUUUGAAGAUUGGUUUAUUUUUCUAAAAAAUAUUUGCUUGAAGAUUAUAAUGUAGGUUAAAGGAUGUAUUAUGAAAUCUUUCAUGCUAGUUUUAACUCCUACCUCGCUCAUUCUUUCUGUUUGUCUCUCCUCUUCCCCACUAAUCUGUUUUUUGUUAAUUUUCAAAAAGAGACACAGGAGCACUCACUGAAUCUUUAAUCUGCACACUUGCUCUCCAAUCUUGCUCCUUUUAACUUUUUGCCACUUAAUUUGGUAGAAAAAAUAAUUUAUAGUCUUUUUUUAUUCUACUGCGUUGCUGUGUAACCAUAAAUUUUACGGCCUAGCUUCCCCUGUUUCUCAAUCUCACUGAUUGCUGUCUUUGGUUUAACCUCUUUACUAUGCUAGGCUUUCUUGUCUAUUCGUUUGAUUUCAGCUGUCUUUGAUACCAUAGGGCUAUCAUUUGGUAUUAACAUUAGAUCAGUAUUUUAUAAAUUGUGCAAUUAAAAUUUCUUAUGCUUUUCAAAGAAUGGAGACCUUAAUUUAAAAUAUUUCUAUUAGGUUCACCAUUCACCAUUGUGUGUCUGAAGCCUAUUUGACGUAGUUAGUAGUUGCUGUUUGUUAAUGCCACCAUUUGCAAAUUGUGUAAUAACAAUCUCUUAUGCUUUUCAAAGAAUGGAGAACUUGAUGCUUUUAAAAUAUUUCUAUUAGGUUCACCAUUCACCAUUGUUGUUUCUGAAGCCUAUUUGACGUGGUUAGCAGUUGUUGUUUGUUAAUGCCACCAUUUGGACAGUUAUUGUUGUUAGCACGGCCAGCAACUGCUAUAAUUAGCUCCAACACAGCCAACAUUGCAAUUGCCACUUUGAUUGCAAUUGUCAUUACAAUCAUUUUAUCAAAAUAAUUACUACUAUUUCAUAAUUUGGUUUGAAAAUACUGUUUUAUUUUAAAAUUUCUAACUAAAAUAGAUUGUACCAUUAUGAAAGAGACCUUUGACUUGUUUAUGGUAGUCUGGUGAUGUUCUUUUGUUUCUCGAGUCUAGCAGAAGUUGUUUACUUUUCUGUAUGACUUGUUUGGCUCUGCUAUCUUCCAAGAGCAUGGUAAUUGUCAAAUUUGGUCCGUGGCGAUUCUUGAUGAUUAUGGACCAGUGACCAUGGUGGUUGUCAAAUUGGCUUGGGGAGAUAAACUGCAAAAAGCUGAAGGUUGAAGUUUUUGGCGGUGCUCUUCUGAUUCAUGUGUUAGGUUUCUGUUUAUAAUUGAAUAUUUUUCUUAAAAGGUCUUAUGGAUGAGUAGUGUUUAGUGUAUUUUGGUUGGUCUAAUUCAGCUUCACAUCUUAGAUCUUACACCAAAAGCUUUGAGUUUUGGAGUAAAGGGUAGUAUAGGGUUGUUUCAAUAUCAUCUGGAGCUGAAAAUGUUUAGGAAAUUUGAUUUUUAUAUUAAAGGAACUGAUUUAAUGUC